AGAGUUUGAUCAUGGCUCAGAACGAACGCUGGCGGCGUGCCUAACACAUGCAAGUCGAACGGAGGUAGGGAGCUUGCUCCUUACUUUAGUGGCGCACGGGUGAGUAACGCGUAGAUAAUCUGCCUGAUGAUCUGGGAUAACACUUCGAAAGGGGUGCUAAUACCGGAUAAGCCCACGGGGUCUUUGGAUUCUGCGGGAAAAGGGGGGGACCUUCGGGCCUUCUGUCAUCAGAUGAGUCUGCGUACCAUUAGCUAGUUGGUAGGGUAAUGGCCUACCAAGGCUACGAUGGUUAGCUGGUUUGAGAGAAUGAUCAGCCACACUGGAACUGAGACACGGUCCAGACUCCUACGGGAGGCAGCAGUGGGGAAUUUUGCGCAAUGGGCGAAAGCCUGACGCAGCAACGCCGCGUGAGUGAUGAAGGCUUUCGGGUCGUAAAGCUCUGUCAGAGGGAAAGAAGUGUAUUGUGGCUAAUAUCCACGAUACUUGACGGUACCCUCAAAGGAAGCACCGGCUAACUCCGUGCCAGCAGCCGCGGUAAUACGGGGGGUGCAAGCGUUGUUCGGAAUUAUUGGGCGUAAAGAGCGUGUAGGCGGUUUGUUAAGUCUGUUGUGAAAGCCCUGGGCUCAACCCAGGAAGUGCACUGGAUACUGGCAGACUUGAAUACGGGAGAGGGUAGUGGAAUUCCUAGUGUAGGAGUGAAAUCCGUAGAUAUUAGGAGGAACACCGGUGGCGAAGGCGGCUACCUGGACCGAUAUUGACGCUGAGACGCGAAAGCGUGGGUAGCAAACAGGAUUAGAUACCCUAGUAGUCC
This 811-nucleotide ribosomal RNA is filed under the name uncultured bacterium. RNAcentral describes it as "bacterial SSU rRNA". It matches the Rfam family "Bacterial small subunit ribosomal RNA", at positions 8 to 796 of the family's 1533-position model. The record is from RNAcentral.